GAGGGUGUAUCUCAGUGAUAGAGCACAGUGCUUAGCAUGCACAAGGUCCUGGGUUCAAUCCCCAGUACCUCCA
Camelus ferus (Wild Bactrian camel) is the source of this 73-nucleotide transfer RNA. It matches the Rfam family "tRNA". From Rfam's summary of the family: Transfer RNA (tRNA) molecules are approximately 80 nucleotides in length. The record is from Rfam. NCBI's taxonomy places the organism in Eukaryota, Metazoa, Chordata, Mammalia, Artiodactyla, Camelidae.